RNAcentral lists this microRNA (20 nucleotides) under Gallus gallus (chicken). Its description in RNAcentral is "gga-miR-6606-5p". Lineage: Eukaryota; Metazoa; Chordata; Aves; Galliformes; Phasianidae. The record is from miRBase by way of RNAcentral.
GAGGAGCGGGAGGAGCGGGA